RNAcentral lists this ribosomal RNA (252 nucleotides) under uncultured bacterium. RNAcentral's name for it is "partial 16S ribosomal RNA". It matches the Rfam family "Bacterial small subunit ribosomal RNA", at positions 524 to 776 of the family's 1533-position model. The record is from RNAcentral.
UACGUAGGGGGCAAGCGUUGUCCGGAAUUAUUGGGCGUAAAGCGCGCGCAGGCGGCUUUGUAAGUCUGUCGUUUAAGUUCGGGGCUCAACCCCGUAUCGCGAUGGAAACUGCAAGGCUUGAGUGCAGAAGAGGAAAGUGGAAUUCCACGUGUAGCGGUGAAAUGCGUGGAGAUGUGGAGGAACACCAGUGGCGAAGGCGACUUUCUGGGCUGUAACUGACGCUGAGGCGCGACAGCGUGGGGAGCAAACAGG